RNAcentral lists this ribosomal RNA (488 nucleotides) under uncultured bacterium. RNAcentral's name for it is "partial 16S ribosomal RNA". It matches the Rfam family "Bacterial small subunit ribosomal RNA", at positions 30 to 505 of the family's 1533-position model. The record is from RNAcentral.
AUUGAACGCUGGCGGCAGGCCUAACACAUGCAAGUCGAACGGUAACAGGAAGAAGCUUGCUUCUUUGCUGACGAGUGGCGGACGGGUGAGUAAUGUCUGGGAAACUGCCUGAUGGAGGGGGAUAACUACUGGAAACGGUAGCUAAUACCGCAUAACGUCGCAAGACCAAAGAGGGGGACCUUCGGGCCUCUUGCCAUCGGAUGUGCCCAGAUGGGAUUAGCUAGUAGGUGGGGUAACGGCUCACCUAGGCGACGAUCCCUAGCUGGUCUGAGAGGAUGACCAGCCACACUGGAACUGAGACACGGUCCAGACUCCUACGGGAGGCAGCAGUGGGGAAAAUUGCGCAAUGGGCGCAAGCCUGAUGCAGCCAUGCCGCGUGUAUGAAGAAGGCCUUCGGGUUGUAAAGUACUUUCAGCGGGGAGGAAGGGAGUAAAGUUAAUACCUUUGCUCAUUGACGUUACCCGCAGAAGAAGCACCGGCUAACUCCG